This 818-nucleotide ribosomal RNA is filed under the name uncultured bacterium. RNAcentral's name for it is "bacterial SSU rRNA". It matches the Rfam family "Bacterial small subunit ribosomal RNA", at positions 8 to 840 of the family's 1533-position model. The record is from RNAcentral.
AGAGUUUGAUCCUGGCUCAGGAUGAACGCUGGCGGCGCGCCUAACACAUGCAAGUCGAACGAGCGAGAGAGAGCUUGCUUUCUCGAGCGAGUGGCGAACGGGUGAGUAACGCGUGAAGAACCUGCCUUUCAGUGGGGGACAACAGUUGGAAACGACUGCUAAUACCGCAUGACGCUUCUUGGGGGCAUCCCCGGGAAGUCAAAGCUUUAUGUGCUGAAAGAUGGCUUCGCGUCUGAUUAGCUAGAUGGCGAGGUAACGGCCCACCAUGGCGACGAUCAGUAGCCGGUCUGAGAGGAUGAACGGCCACAUUGGGACUGAGAUACGGCCCAGACUCCUACGGGAGGCAGCAGUGGGGAAUAUUGGGCAAUGGGGGAAACCCUGACCCAGCAACGCCGCGUGAAGGAAGAAGGCCUUCGGGUUGUAAACUUCUUUUACCAGGGACGAAGGACGUGACGGUACCUGGAGAAAAAGCCACGGCUAACUACGUGCCAGCAGCCGCGGUAAUACGUAGGUGGCGAGCGUUAUCCGGAAUCAUUGGGCGUAAAGAGGGAGCAGGCGGCCGCAAGGGUCUGUGGUGAAAGACCGAAGCUAAACUUCGGUAAGCCAUGGAAACCGGGCGGCUAGAGUGCGGAAGAGGAUCGUGGAAUUCCAUGUGUAGCGGUGAAAUGCGUAGAUAUAUGGAGGAACACCAGUGGCGAAGGCGACGGUCUGGGCCGCAACUGACGCUCAUUCCCGAAAGCGUGGGGAGCAAAUAGGAUUAGAUACCCUAGUAGUCCACGCCGUAAACGAUGGUCACUAAGUGUCGGGGGUCAGACCCC